CACCAGGUUGAUUCUGCCUGUUAUAUGUGCUAGUGUCGAAGAUUUAGCCAUGCAUGCUUUACGAAUUCACAAGAAGAAGUGGCGGACAGCUCAGUAAUACAGUUAUAAUAUACUCUCUACUAAAGGAUAACCGCGGUAAGCUGCGGGUAAAACUUCAAGCUAUGUGUUUCAUGAAAGAAUUUAUAGUUCAGAGUGUUAGUUUCUGGCCUAUUAGUUAGUAGGUAAUGUAAGGGAUUACCUAGACUAUUAUGGGUAACGGGAGAUGAAUGUCUGAUACCGGAGAGGAAGCCUUAGAAACCGCUUUCACGUCCAAGGAUGGCAGCAGGCGCGAAACUUACCCAAUCGUUUUUUAAGACGGAGGUAGUUAUGACACAUGUGAAUUAUUCACGAGGAAGAUCAAUAAAUCAGAUUUUUUUUACUGGAGGGCAAGUCUGGUGCCAGCAGCCGCGGUAAUUCCAGCUCCAGUAGUGCAUAUACAUGCUGUAGUUAGAAAGUUUGUAGCCGUAUAAGCUUGAAUCAGAGGAAAGGAGGACUCUUAAGGUAAACUUUAACUCUGGUCAAUGCUUAUAUUCGAAGCGGAUGGAGGCACUUGUAUUCAAUAGCGAGAGGUAAAAUUUGAUGACCUAUUGAGGACAAUCAGUAGCGAAAGCGAGUGUCUAGUACGCGUUUGAGGGUCAAGAACGUUAGCCGGAGGAUCGAAGAUGAUUAGAUACCGUUGUAGUUCCGGCCGUAAACCAUGCCUACUUGCCUUGUACUUAGUAUGAAGCAUAGAGAAAUUAAGAGUUUUUGGGCUCUAGGGAUAGUAAUCCGGCAACGGACAAACUUAAAGAAAUUGGCGGAAGGACACCACAAGGAGUGGAUUGUGCGGCUUAACUUGACUCAACACGGGAAAUCUUACCAGGGUCUGUAUAUGUGAGACUGUCCCAUUUAUGGUGGUACACGAUAAUAUACUGAGUGGUGCAUGGCCGUUUUCAACACGUGGGGUGACCUGUCAGGUUUAUUCCGGUAACGUGUGAGGUCACAGUAUUAAUAAGUAUUUUAAUAGACAGCUAAUGGUAAAUUAGAGGAAGUGUGACGAUAACAGGUCAGUGAUGCCCUUAGAUACCCUGGGCUGCACGCGCAAUACAUUGAGUAAGUCAUUUACAACAGUAAUUUUGAAACUUACUCGCUACUGGGAUCAUCCUUUGUAAUUGGGAUGUGAACGUGGAAUUCCUAGUAAUCGUAGCUCACUAAGUUACGAUGAAUGUGUCCCUGUUCUUUGCACACACCGCCCGUCGCUAUCUAAGAUGGAUGUUGAUAUGAAAUUGCUGCUUGAAUGUGAGGUACUUGAGUAUUAACAACUAGAUAAGAUAUAAGUCGUAACAAGGCUGCUAUAGAAGAAUCUGUGGCAGGAUCAUACAAAUAUAUUAAUACUAUUAUAGAGAUGAAGUGUUGGUAAGGGAUCUCUUGGGUUCUGUAACGAGGAAGGACGUAGACGAAUGCGAUAAGGGAGCCUCAUCUCAGCUUAGCUCCAUUUCCGAAUGAAAGAAUACUCCUAGAACUUAAGCAUAUCAUUAUAGGAAGGAAUAGAAAUUAACGAAGAUUCUCACAGUAGUGGCGAAUGAACAGAGAUAAGUCCACGAUGGUAAACUGUAUUCCAAUACGGUGUUGUAUAUAAGAACUUAAGUGAUAAGCUGAAAAGCUUGACCAUAGCGGGUUAUAGUCCCCUUCUUAUUGAGAUUGUUAGAUUAGCCUUGCUUGGUAAUGCAAGGUGAAUUGGGUGGUAGAUCGCAUCCAAGACUAAAUAUAACAGAACACCGAUAGCGAAGAAGUACUGCGAAGGAAAGAAGAAAGGUCUUUCAGACCAAUAAAGUAG
Molecule: ribosomal RNA, 1855 nt
Filed under: Tubulinosema ratisbonensis
Lineage: Eukaryota; Fungi; Microsporidia; Tubulinosematidae
Description: bacterial SSU rRNA
Rfam family: Microsporidia small subunit ribosomal RNA (bases 1-1399)
Source: RNAcentral